AGGCGGUGGCAAGGACAAGGUCACAACGUAUUCAUAUGACAUGCGGUGGGUGGGAACCCACAACGACAGCUCGACGUUUCACGAUUCAUAUUACCAGAACCAGAACCCAC
RNAcentral lists this ribosomal RNA (110 nucleotides) under Prorocentrum minimum. RNAcentral's name for it is "partial Archaeal small subunit ribosomal RNA". The record is from RNAcentral. Lineage: Eukaryota; Dinophyceae; Prorocentrales; Prorocentraceae.